RNAcentral lists this ribosomal RNA (500 nucleotides) under uncultured bacterium. Its description in RNAcentral is "partial 16S ribosomal RNA". It matches the Rfam family "Bacterial small subunit ribosomal RNA", at positions 30 to 523 of the family's 1533-position model. The record is from RNAcentral.
AUUGAACGCUGGCGGCAGGCCUAACACAUGCAAGUCGAGCGGUAGAGAGGUGCUUGCACCUCUUGAGAGCGGCGGACGGGUGAGUAAUGCCUAGGAAUCUGCCUGGUAGUGGGGGAUAACGCUCGGAAACGGACGCUAAUACCGCAUACGUCCUACGGGAGAAAGCAGGGGACCUUCGGGCCUUGCCGUAUCAGAGGAGCCUAGGUCGGAUUAGCUAGUUGGUGAGGUAAUGGCUCACCAAGGCGACGAUCCGUAACUGGUCUGAGAGGAUGAUCAGUCACACUGGAACUGAGACACGGUCCAGACUCCUACGGGAGGCAGCAGUGGGGAAUAUUGGACAAUGGGCGAAAGCCUGAUCCAGCCAUGCCGCGUGUGUGAAGAAGGUCUUCGGAUUGUAAAGCACUUUAAGUUGGGAGGAAGGGUCGUUACCCAAUACGUGACGAUUUUGACGUUACCGACAGAAUAAGCACCGGCUAACUCUGUGCCAGCAGCCGCCGUAA